CAAGAUUUUAGCAACAUCAGCUCUAAUGAUCCUCAAGCCAAGAAAAUUCACAUUAUAUAACCCAUUACUGUUCUUACUAUACACUCCCUCUCAGAUCUCCUUAGUCAUCAUUCAUUUUUAUCCCUUUCCCCAACUGGAGUCCAAUUACUGCACGCACAACUCCUGGAUCCCCUAACUACCUUCCAGCAAGAUUCCUCACUAAACCCAGGCACUCUGCUCCCAACAAACCCCUCUGCUCCUAUAAUUUCUCAUUCUUGUUCAGACUUUCUGGACUUUUUGAUGAGUUCAUUUUCUCACAUAAUGGAUCAGCAAUUACCUUACUCCCUUGACUGGUUCAUACAUGGAAACUCCCAGAAACAUCCCCCUUAUCUUGCUGGUUAUGCUAUAAUUCAAGGAAAAAUUACAGCAGAUUCUUCUGUUCCUUACCCAGAUAUUAGAAUUAUCUCCCUUAUUCCCAGAGACCACCUCGCAGCAAGCUGAGUUAGUGGCCCUGUUGCAGGGACAGACAAGGCAAGGCACCGAAGAUAGCAGGAAACAGUUUUAAU
This 545-nucleotide long non-coding RNA is filed under the name Marmota monax (woodchuck). The record is from RNAcentral. Lineage: Eukaryota; Metazoa; Chordata; Mammalia; Rodentia; Sciuridae.